UCACAGACAAGCUCCCACAUAAACAUUUCCAAAUGGAAUCCUUCUCCAUGAUGAUUUGCCUACCUCUUCUUUGUUAUAUCAUCUUCUGCCUCUGGAAGUUGUUCUUUAGGAAUAGAGAAAACAGCUGCUAUAUGCUGCACUAUGAGUGCUACAAGGGUGCUGAGGACAGGAAGCUCGACACAGAAUCCUGUGCAAAGAUUGUCCUGAGAAACAAGAAUCUGGGGCUGGAACAGUACAGGUUUCUUUUACAAACUAUUUCUAAUUCUGGCAUUGGUGAAGAAACUUAUGGCCCGAAAAACGUUAUUGAAGGCCAAGAACAAUCUCCUUCUCUAGAGGAUGCCCUUUCAGAAGUUGAUGAUAUCAUGUUCAACACACUUGACAAGCUCUUUGAAAGAACAGGAGUUUCUCCAUCAGAAAUUGACAUACUUGUUGUCAAUGUUUCCUUAUUCUCCCCUCAACCUUCUCUAACGGCUCGAGUAGUUAACAGGUACAAGAUGAGGGAGGAUAUCAAAGCUUUCAACCUUGCUGGAAUGGGCUGUAGUGCAAGCGUUGUGGCUUUGGAUCUAGUUUGGCAGCUGUUCAAGUCACACAAGAAAGCAUUGGCUCUCGUUGUGAGCACAGAAUCAAUGGGUCCAAAUUGGUAUCGUGGCAAGGAGAAAUCCAUGAUUCUUUCCAAUUGUCUUUUCCGUUCAGGAGGCUGCUCUAUGCUCUUGACAAACAAUGAAGCACUAAAGCAUCGAGCCAUCUUGAAAUUAAGCCAUGUUGUACGUACACAUCUUGGGGCAAACGAUGAAGCUUAUGGAUGCUGCAUACAAUUAGAAGAUGAUCUUGGCUAUGCAGGUUUUCUCCUGACCAGAAACCUAACAAGGAAUGCUGCUAAAGCUCUUUCCAUGAAUCUCAAAGUGCUAAUGCCCAAAGUGUUACCUCUACGGGAACUACUACGCUACAUUUUCACAUCUCUUGGUCGAAAGAGAAGCACUGUAGCAGGUUUAAAUUUCAAGGCUGGAAUUGAACACUUCUGUAUACACCCAGGUGGGAAGGCAGUCAUUGAUGGGAUUGGUAAGAGUUUAAAGCUAACUGAUUACGAUCUUGAACCUGCCAGAAUGGCACUUCAUAGAUUUGGCAACACAUCAUCUGGUGGCCUUUGGUAUGUUUUAGGCUACAUGGAAGCUAAGAAGAGGCUUAAGAAGGGUGACAGAAUACUAAUGAUCAGUCUUGGAGCAGGUUUUAAGUGCAACAACUGUGUGUGGGAAGUUGUGAGAGACUUGAACGAUCUUAAUGUCUGGAAGGACAGCAUAGAUCAUUAUCCUUCCCAAGAAGGACCAGCCAACUCAUUCCUGGAAAAGUAUGGUUGGAUCAAUGAUGAACAGUUGAUGAGCUUUGUUCAAUUUCCGUAGAAGCCACAUACUUUGUUCCUACAAUAUUUAACUCUAUUACAACUUUUCUUUAAAUCUGUCUUGUAAUUUCCCUUUUGGUUCAGGAAUAAUGCUCCAGUUAUGUACCAUAUUGGAGCAUGCAUGAGUUAAAAAUCUAUGCAUCUUGAUCAUAUAGCUGAAGGAUGCAUAAAACUCAUGUCUUUCUAAUUUCAAAACCUUUGUUUUAAGUUACAAUAAUAUUGUAGUUAUGAUAAUUUUGUUCAGAGUAUGUGUGGUUUUUAGACCUUACUUCAUCUGAAAAUUUAUGAAGG
This 1687-nucleotide unclassified non-coding RNA is filed under the name Hevea brasiliensis (rubber tree). Lineage: Eukaryota; Viridiplantae; Streptophyta; Magnoliopsida; Malpighiales; Euphorbiaceae. The record is from RNAcentral.